AUUGAACGCUGGCGGCAGGCUUAACACAUGCAAGUCGAGCGAGGCGCGGACGGGUGAGUAAUGUCUGGGAAACAGCCCGAUGGAGGGGGAUAACUACUGGAAACGGUAGCUAAUACCGCAUACCAUCAGUUGCGCCUAGAUGGGAUUAGCUAGUAGGUGGGGUAAUGGCUCACCUAGGCGACGAUCCCUAGCUGGUCUGAGAGGGUGACCGGCCACACUGGAACUGAGACACGGUCCAUACUCCGACGGGAGGCAGCAGUGGGGAAUAUUGCACAAUGGGCGCAAGCCUGAUGCAGCCAUGCCGCGUGUGUGAAGAAGGCCUUCGGGUUGUAAAGCACUUUCAGCGGGGAGGCGUUACUCGCAGAGGAAGCACCGGCUAACUCCGUGCCAGCAGCCGCGGUAAUUC
This 406-nucleotide ribosomal RNA is filed under the name uncultured bacterium. RNAcentral's name for it is "partial 16S ribosomal RNA". It matches the Rfam family "Bacterial small subunit ribosomal RNA", at positions 30 to 526 of the family's 1533-position model. The record is from RNAcentral.